This 264-nucleotide ribosomal RNA is filed under the name uncultured soil bacterium. RNAcentral's name for it is "partial 16S ribosomal RNA". It matches the Rfam family "Bacterial small subunit ribosomal RNA", at positions 26 to 292 of the family's 1533-position model. The record is from RNAcentral.
AGAUUGAACGCUGGCGGCAUGCCUUACACAUGCAAGUCGAACGGCAGCACGGGAGCAAUCCUGGUGGCGAGUGGCGAACGGGUGAGUAAUAUAUCGGAACGUGCCCAGUCGUGGGGGAUAACGUAGAGAAAUUUACGCUAAUACCGCAUACGAUCCAAGGAUGAAAGCGGGGGACCGUAAGGCCUCGCGCGACUGGAGCGGCUGAUAUCAGAUUAGCUUGUUGGUGAGGUAAAAGCUCACCAAGGCGACGAUCUGUAGCUGGUA